AAGGAUUUAAGUUAAAAAAACUAGUAACCUUCAAAGUUAAAAUUAGAAAAAUUUCUAAACCUUA
This 64-nucleotide transfer RNA is filed under the name Phyllotreta undulata. RNAcentral describes it as "tRNA-Trp". The record is from RNAcentral. Lineage: Eukaryota; Metazoa; Arthropoda; Insecta; Coleoptera; Chrysomelidae.